This 366-nucleotide ribosomal RNA is filed under the name Geobacillus stearothermophilus. Its description in RNAcentral is "bacterial SSU rRNA". It matches the Rfam family "Bacterial small subunit ribosomal RNA", at positions 558 to 923 of the family's 1533-position model. The record is from RNAcentral. Lineage: Bacteria; Bacillati; Bacillota; Bacilli; Caryophanales; Anoxybacillaceae.
GCGUAAGCGCGCGCAGGUGGUUUCUUAAGUCUGAUGUGAAAGCCCACGGCUCAACCGUGGAGGGUCAUUGGAAACUGGGAGACUUGAGUGCAGAAGAGGAAAGUGGAAUUCCAUGUGUAGCGGUGAAAUGCGUAGAGAUAUGGAGGAACACCAGUGGCGAAGGCGACUUUCUGGUCUGUAACUGACACUGAGGCGCGAAAGCGUGGGGAGCAAACAGGAUUAGAUACCCUGGUAGUCCACGCCGUAAACGAUGAGUGCUAAGUGUUAGAGGGUUUCCGCCCUUUAGUGCUGAAGUUAACGCAUUAAGCACUCCGCCUGGGGAGUACGGCCGCAAGGCUGAAACUCAAAGGAAUUGACGGGGGCCCG